AGGUCAAGCGAAGAAGAGCGCAGGGUGGAUGCCUUGGCACUAAGAGCCGAUGAAAGACGUGAUAAGCUGCGAAAAGUCACGGGGAGGAGCAAAUAUCCUUUGAUCCGUGAAUAUCUGAAUGGGGAAACCCACAUGAGAAUACCUCAUGUAUCCAUACGCCAAUCCAUAACGUAUGGAAGGGAACCCGGUGAACUGAAACAUCUAAGUAGCCGGAGGAAGAGAAAGAAAAAUCGAUUUCCAAAGUAGCGGCGAGCGAAAUGGAAAGAGCCCAAACCGGAGUGCGUGCAUUCCGGGGUUCGGACCGCAUAAUUGAUUCAGCAAUUCCAGCAGAACUGUUUUGGGAAAGCAGACCAGAGAGGGUGAAAGUCCCGUAAGCGAAAGAAGAGCUGACAUGGCGGUAUCCAGAGUACAUCGAGACACGAGAAACCUUGAUGGAAUAAGCGGGGACCACCCCGUAAGGCUAAAUACUACUUAGUGACCGAUAGCGCAUAGUACUGUGAAGGAAAGGUGAAAAGGACCCCGGGAGGGGAGUGAAAGAGAACCUGAAACCCUGUGUUUACAAGCUGUGGAAGCACUUUAUAUGUGCGACCGCGUACUUUUUGUAGAACGGUCCGGCGAGUUACGCUUACUGGCGAGGUUAAGGACUUAAGGUCCGGAGCCGAAGGGAAACCAAGUCUUAACAGGGCGAGUUUAGUCAGUAGGAGUAGACCCGAAACCGGGUGAUCUAUCCAUGUCCAGGUUGAAGAUGCCGUAAAAGGCGUUGGAGGACCGAACCCACAUCCGUUGAAAAGGGUGGGGAUGAGGUGUGGAUAGGGGAGAAAUUCCAAUCGAACCCGGAGAUAGCUGGUUCUCCUCGAAAUAGCUUUAGGGCUAGCCUCGUUUUAGUCUUGUGGAGGUAGAGCACUGAAUUUCCGCGGGGGCGUCAAAGCUUACCAAAGAAUAUCAAACUCCGAAUGCCAUUAAGAUGAUGAACGGGAGUCAGACUGUACGAGAUAAGUUGGACAGUCAAAAGGGAAAGAGCCCAGACCACCAGCUAAGGUCCCAAAGUGUGUGUUAAGUGGAAAAGGAUGUGGGGAUUCAAAGACAACUAGGAUGUUGGCUCAGAAGCAGCCAUUCAUUCAAAGAGUGCGUAACAGCUCACUAGUCGAGAGUCCCUGCGCCGAAAAUGUCCGGGGCUGAAACACAACACCGAAGCUGUGGAAUUAUACCUAGUAUGAUUGGUAGAGGAGCAUUCUUAAGACCGACGAAGCUGUACCGAUAAGGAGCAGUGGAGGGAUAAGAAGAGAGAAUGCCGGAAUGAGUAGCGAGAGGAAGGUGAGAAUCCUUCCGGCCGNNNNNNNNNNAGAAUCCUUCCGGCCGAAUAUCCAAGGAUUCCAGGGUAAAGCUGAUCUGCCCUGGGUAAGUCGGGACCUAAGGAGAGGCCGAGAGGCGUAUCCGAUGGACAACAGGUUUAGAUUCCUGUACCACAUAUGGUCAGAACUGUGGGGACGCAGAAGGAAAGCAUGAGCCAGGAAUGGAAAGACUGGUACAAGCAGAGGGGAUGGUGUGCUGGCAAAUCCGCACACGAAAAUCCUUGCUGUGAUGUGGAGCGAACUAGAGUAGCGAAGCAUGCGGACCGGCUGCCGAGAAAAGCCGCUAUUGUGCCAUAUGUGCCCGUACCGUAAACCGACACAGGUGGAUGAGGAGAGAAUCCUAAGGCCGACGGAAGAAGUAUUGUUAAGGAACUCGGCAAAAUGACCCCGUAACUUCGGGAGAAGGGGUGCCUGAGAAAUCAGGCCGCAGAGAAUAGGCUCAAGCAACUGUUUAGCAAAAACACAGGUCUAUGCAAAACCGAAAGGUGAAGUAUAUGGGCUGACGCCUGCCCGGUGCUGGAAGGUUAAGAGGAGAGGUUAGCGCAAGCGAAGCUUUGAAUUUAAGCCCCAGUAAACGGCGGCCGUAACUAUAACGGUCCUAAGGUAGCGAAAUUCCUUGUCGGGUAAGUUCCGACCCGCACGAAAGGCGUAAUGAUUUGAGCACUGUCUCGACAAUACAUCCGGUGAAAUUGAAGUACCAGUGAAGAUGCUGGUUACCCGCGCCAGGACGGAAAGACCCCAUGGAGCUUUACUCCAGUUUGGUACUGGGAUUCGGUACUGCAUGUACAGGAUAGGUGGGAGACGAAGAAGUUAGGACGCCAGUCUUAACAGAGUCGCUGUUGGGAUACCACCCUUGCAGUAUUGGGUUUCUAACCAGCCGCUGUGAACCAGCGGUGGGACAAUGCCAGGCGGGGAGUUUGACUGGGGCGGUCGCCUCCGAAAGGGUAUCGGAGGCGCUCAAAGGUUCCCUCAGAAUGGUCGGAAACCAUUUAAAGAGUGCAAAGGCAGAAGGGAGCUUGACUGCGACACCGACGGGUGGAGCAGGUACGAAAGUAGGACUUAGUGAUCCGGUGGCAUAAAGUGGGAUUGCCAUCGCUCAACGGAUAAAAGCUACCCUGGGGAUAACAGGCUUAUCACUCCCAAGAGUUCACAUCGACGGAGUGGUUUGGCACCUCGAUGUCGGCUCAUCGCAUCCUGGGGCUGUAGCAGGUCCCAAGGGUUGGGCUGUUCGCCCAUUAAAGCGGUACGCGAGCUGGGUUCAGAACGUCGUGAGACAGUUCGGUCCCUAUCCGGCGCGGGCGUAGGAUAUCUGAGGGGAGCUGGCCUUAGUACGAGAGGACCGGGCUGGACGGACCACUGGUGCAUCAGCUGGAUACCAAAUCCAUAGCUGGGUAGCCAAGUCCGGAAGGGAUAAACGCUGAAGGCAUCUAAGCGUGAAGCCCCCCCCAAGAUGAGAUGUCCCUGUCUAUAAGACAGUAAGACCCCUGAAAGAGUAUCAGGUAGAUAGGGCAGAGGUGGAAGCACGGUAACGUGUGGAGCUGACUGUUACUAAUCGGUCGAGGGCUUGACCAAA
Molecule: ribosomal RNA, 2925 nt
Filed under: Roseburia sp. OM04-10BH
Lineage: Bacteria; Bacillati; Bacillota; Clostridia; Lachnospirales; Lachnospiraceae
Description: bacterial LSU rRNA
Rfam family: Bacterial large subunit ribosomal RNA
Source: RNAcentral